This 355-nucleotide ribosomal RNA is filed under the name uncultured bacterium. RNAcentral's name for it is "bacterial SSU rRNA". It matches the Rfam family "Bacterial small subunit ribosomal RNA", at positions 29 to 386 of the family's 1533-position model. The record is from RNAcentral.
AUUGAACGCUGGCGGCAUGCCUUACACAUGCAAGUCGAACGGCAGCACGGGAGCAAUCCUGGUGGCGAGUGGCGAACGGGUGAGUAAUACAUCGGAACGUACCCAGUUGUGGGGGAUAGCUCGGCGAAAGCCGGAUUAAUACCGCAUACGACCUGAGGGUGAAAGCGGGGGAUCGCAAGACCUCGCGCAGUUGGAGCGGCCGAUGUCAGAUUAGCUAGNGGUGGGGUAAAAGCCUACCAAGGCGACGAUCUGUAGCUGGUCUGAGAGGACGACCAGCCACACUGGGACUGAGACACGGCCCAGACUCCUACGGGAGGCAGCAGGUGGGAAUUUUGGACAAUGGGCGCAAGCCUGA